GAAUAAGAAGCAAUUUAUGCAUUUAAUUUCGACUUAAAAAUAUGAGAUAAAUUUCUCCUUAUUUA
Molecule: transfer RNA, 65 nt
Filed under: Euploea midamus
Lineage: Eukaryota; Metazoa; Arthropoda; Insecta; Lepidoptera; Nymphalidae
Description: tRNA-Arg
Source: RNAcentral